Molecule: ribosomal RNA, 696 nt
Filed under: uncultured Sphingobacteriaceae bacterium
Lineage: Bacteria; Pseudomonadati; Bacteroidota; Sphingobacteriia; Sphingobacteriales; Sphingobacteriaceae
Description: bacterial SSU rRNA
Rfam family: Bacterial small subunit ribosomal RNA
Source: RNAcentral
AAGUCGGACGGGAUCCGUCGGAGAGCUUGCUCGAAGACGGUGAGAGUGGCGCACGGGUGCGUAACGCGUGAGCAACCUACCUCUAUCAGGGGGAUAGCCUCUCGAAAGAGAGAUUAACACCGCAUAAUAUAUCUGACCGGCAUCGGUUAGCUAUUAAAUAUUUAUAGGAUAGAGAUGGGCUCGCGUGACAUUAGCUAGUUGGUAGGGUAACGGCUUACCAAGGCGACGAUGUUUAGGGGCUCUGAGAGGAGAAUCCCCCACACUGGUACUGAGACACGGACCAGACUCCUACGGGAGGCAGCAGUAAGGAAUAUUGGUCAAUGGGCGGAAGCCUGAACCAGCCAUGCCGCGUGCAGGAUGACUGCCCUAUGGGUUGUAAACUGCUUUUGUCCAGGAAUAAACCUAGAUACGUGUAUCUAGCUGAAUGUACUGGAAGAAUAAGGAUCGGCUAACUCCGUGCCAGCAGCCGCGGUAAUACGGAGGAUCCGAGCGUUAUCCGGAUUUAUUGGGUUUAAAGGGUGCGUAGGCGGCCUAUUAAGUCAGGGGUGAAAUACGGUGGCUCAACCAUCGCAGUGCCUUUGAUACUGAUGGGCUUGAAUCCAUUUGAAGUGGGCGGAAUAAGACAAGUAGCGGUGAAAUGCAUAGAUAUGUCUUAGAACUCCGAUUGCGAAGGCAGCUCACUAAGCUGGUAUUGAC